Molecule: RNA transcript, 2512 nt
Organism: Momordica charantia (bitter melon)
Lineage: Eukaryota; Viridiplantae; Streptophyta; Magnoliopsida; Cucurbitales; Cucurbitaceae
Gene name: transcription factor PIF1
Source: RefSeq, a predicted model, not a curated record
CGUCAAAACCUCAACUCGUCUUUUUGCCCUUCUGCGCAGCAGAGAGAGAGAGAGAGAGAGAGAGAGAGAGAGAGAGAGAGAGAGAGAGAGAGAGAGCUUAUCCUGGAACAAGGCCGUUCGGCUGUUCACAUUCACACGACAAGCAAAAAGGCCCAACCAGAACCAGUCCUUCUUUUUCUGCAUUCUCUUUCUUCAAUUACAGCGUCGCGCAAAUUUGAGCUCUCAUGAAGGACAAUCGACAAUUGGAUCUGCGAUGAACGGCUGAAAUUAGAACUCUCGAGACCAAUUUGGACACUGAGUUUCAAGGAAUUGGAAAAUGUUUUGUUGAUUAUGGAAUUUAGUUCCACCGACUAUUGAUGAUCAGUUUUGUUCUGUUUUUAUUUAUUUAUGCGGUCUCACUUUUCAGAGCGAGCGUCAGGAGUCAUAAUCACCGGCUGAACGUACGGCUUCGACCUCUUGCUGCCACCGUUGGUUUCAUCUUUCAAAGUCUCAGCUAAUGAUUGAUUGAGCCGGUAGUUGGUUUCUUUGAUUGUCCAAGAGAUUAAAGAAGAAGAUGAAUCACUGCGUUCCUGAUUUCGAGACGGACGACGAUUUCUCGCUUCCUACUUCUUCCGCGCCAUCGCUCUGCAAGGCAUCUUCCAUCAGGUCAGACGGGGAGGUUAUAGAACUUGUUUGGAAGAACCGGCAGGUGGUAAUGCAGAAUCAGACCCAGAAUUCUGGGACGAAAUCUAACGGCACUACAGUAACCGCGGAGCAAAUCAGGAACAGAGAUAUUCGAGCUUUGCAUCAAGAGGAGAAACCGGAACUCUUCAUGCAGGAGGACGAAAUGGUUUCGUGGCUUCAAUAUCCUCUCGAUGAAGAACCUCCAUUGGACCAUAGUUUCUGCGAUCAACUCGUCUAUACUACGCAGCCUCAGAGUAUUGAGCAGAACGCCAGCGUCACUGCACAAGUUCGUACUAGUUAUGGCAUGGAGUUCCGACCGGUGACGCCGAUGUCUACGACGGCGACCUCAACGAUGAUUGCUAGGCCGCCAAUACCACCGAUGAGAACAACGGAAUCGGAAAUGAACACAAAUAGUUUCGGACUCUUCUCGAGGUACACACGGAGCGUUGAAUCUGGGCCGUCGAGUUCGAGGAGCACAGUAAGGGAAUCUCCGGCUUCGGAAUUACGGCGGACGGCUAUAGCCGACGCAUCAAGCGGUGGUUUAGCCUGCAGGCUCAUGAGCGGUGGUGGAGUAGCGGCUACGUCCAGCGCAGAACCGACAAUUCGAAGGACGACGAGUCUCGAGGACCGGAAGCGGAAAGGAAAAGAGAAGGAUGAUCCUGAAUACCAAUGCCAUAGCACGGACGUUGAAUUCGAAACUUCUGAUGCAAAGAAGCAAGUUCGUGUACCAACCUCUACAAAAAGAUCUCGUGCUGCUGAGGUCCAUAAUCUCUCAGAGCGAAAAAGAAGAGAUAGGAUAAACGAAAAGAUGAAGGCUUUGCAGGAGCUCAUACCACGGGGUAACAAGUUUCAGGCAGAUAAAGCUUCAAUGUUGGACGAGGCAAUUGAAUACUUGAAGUCUCUUCAGUUGCAAGUGCAGAUGAUGUCCAUGGGAUGUGGUAUGUUGCCUAUGAUGUUUCCUGGUAUGCAACAAUUUGUGCCACCAAUGGGAAUGGGACUUGGAAUGGGAAUGGGCAUGGAAACAAGUGCGAACCGCCCUAUGAUGCCAUAUCCUAAUAUGUUAGCUGGAUCGACGUUUCCAAGGCAAGCUGGAGCUGCUCAACUUGGACCAACUUUCCCUUUUGCAGCCUUUCAUAUGGCGCAUAUUGCCAGUAAUGAUCCAUCCAGAAUCCAAGGAACAAAUCAGUCAGAUCCUAUGCACAGCUCACCAGGAAUGCAAAAUAUAAACCAGUCAAGGAUGUCAAGUUCACUCGAUGGUUAUCAGCAGUUUCUUGGUUCUCAACAGAUGCAGGUGCCAGCAGCAGUAUCACAGCGUUCCCCACAGAAUCAACCAGCAGCCCCACCAGGAACCCACAAUCAACAUACGAAUAGCCGUAGUGGACUUGAAAACAUUGAAAAUUACAAAUCAGGGAACCGCACCAUGGAUCCAUGUUGAAAUUGGAUGAAGCUCCUAGACAGGCUCUACAUGCCUGCAAAAUUUUGUAGCGUAAGAGAGGCAGUAUAUGGUUUCGGCUUAGUUUCUUUAGUAGAGUAUUGGAAGAGCAGAGGAAGAAAGAAGACAAGGCUGGUAAGGAGAAGACAAAUGUGAACAAAGAGAUUUAAUUUGGAGUGACCAAGCUAGAUAAUAGGUAUUUAACACAUAUUCAAUCUAAAUUUUGAUAUUUGUUUAUUUGUCAAGCACAUGGUUAGUUUUUCAAAUUACAUCAUUUAAUUUUUUUUUUCUUUAGGUUUUUAUAAUGUUAGUUUUUCACUUGUGAUCUUUAAUUAUAAGAUUAUUUGCCCUCUUUAGUCCAACUUUGAGCCUUUUCUUAUAUUCACAAUUAUUGAGUUAAACAUUGUGAAAUAUGUC